CAAUACGGGGCUUAAUGUCUUGUAAUUGGAAUGAUGGGAAUUUAAACCUCUUCCAGAGUAUCAAUUGGAGGGCAAGUCUGGUGCCAGCAGCCGCGGUAAUUCCAGCUCCAAUAGCGUAUAUUAAAAUUGUUGCAGUUAAAAAGCUCGUAGUUGAAUUUCUGCUGCAUUGCAUUUGCUCCUUGACGAGUGUCUGUAUUGCGGCUUAUUUCGGAUUAUGCUUGCAUUUUCCGGAUGUUUACUUUGAGAAAAUUAGAGUGCUCAAAGCAGGCUUUUGCCUUGAAUAGUUUAGCAUGGAAUAAUAAAGUAGGACUUUGGUUCUAUUUUGUUGGUUUUAGGUACCAAAGUAAUGGUUAAUAGGAACAGUUGGGGGCAUUCGUAUUUA
RNAcentral lists this ribosomal RNA (382 nucleotides) under uncultured Theileria sp. Its description in RNAcentral is "SSU rRNA". It matches the Rfam family "Eukaryotic small subunit ribosomal RNA", at positions 477 to 900 of the family's 1831-position model. The record is from RNAcentral. Lineage: Eukaryota; Apicomplexa; Aconoidasida; Piroplasmida; Theileriidae.